Molecule: long non-coding RNA, 519 nt
Organism: Propithecus coquereli (Coquerel's sifaka)
Lineage: Eukaryota; Metazoa; Chordata; Mammalia; Primates; Indriidae
Exons: 3
Source: RefSeq, a predicted model, not a curated record
CAGCUCUCAAAGAUUCUUCCUCCCUCCUGCUCCUCCUCUCCCAGUUCCUGCCCAGGCUGCCUCUAUCAUACAAGCUGUAACUUCUGCCAGUCCUAUCAGCCGGCGAACAACAGAGCUGCAGCUCUGCCAGGGACAGGGAUUUCUCAAGCUCCUGUUUGGCACAGCACAGGCAAGUAAGGGGCACGUCUAACUGCCCACGCUCAGCCAAACCGAAGGACAAAGGCGGCGAGACUCUCUCUGGACCUUGGGGACAAACACAGCUCUCCCAGGCGAAGAUGCAAGCGUUCCCAUUGCAGUGUAAUUAGGAACAGCACAGAAACUCAGACAUGUGCCCCUUCUGUGUUGGCAACAGAUAUGACAGAACUACAUGAGGUGCAAAACGCAGGCUUUGUGUGCGCCUGUGUGUGUGUACAUGUGCGUGCGUGCACACGCGGCGCUAUGUGCUGCCGCCCAAGUUUCAGACUAUUUCUAAAUUGAAGUUGAUGAGAUGGGAUAUUGUGCCUUUUUAAAAAAUGUAAC